This 216-nucleotide ribosomal RNA is filed under the name uncultured bacterium. RNAcentral's name for it is "partial 16S ribosomal RNA". It matches the Rfam family "Bacterial small subunit ribosomal RNA", at positions 118 to 334 of the family's 1533-position model. The record is from RNAcentral.
UGAGCAACCUACCGAAUUGUGGGGGAUAGCCGGCCCAACGGCCGGGUAAUACCGCAUACGCUCGAGACCAGGCAUUUGGACUCGAGGAAAUCUACGGAGCAAUUCGAGGGGCUCGCGGCCUAUCAGCUAGUUGGCGAGGUAAUGGCUCACCAAGGCGACGACGGGUAGCUGGUCUGAGAGGAUGGCCAGCCACAUUGGGACUGAGAUACGGCCCAG